This 600-nucleotide ribosomal RNA is filed under the name Serratia marcescens. Its description in RNAcentral is "bacterial SSU rRNA". It matches the Rfam family "Bacterial small subunit ribosomal RNA", at positions 522 to 1124 of the family's 1533-position model. Lineage: Bacteria; Pseudomonadati; Pseudomonadota; Gammaproteobacteria; Enterobacterales; Yersiniaceae. The record is from RNAcentral.
GCAACGGAGGGUGCAGCGUUAUCGGAUUACUGGGCGUAAAGCGCACGCAGGCGGUUUGUUAAGUCAGAUGUGAAAUCCCCGGGCUCAACCUGGGAACUGCAUUUGAAACUGGCAAGCUAGAGUCUCGUAGAGGGGGGUAGAAUUCCAGGUGUAGCGGUGAAAUGCGUAGAGAUCUGGAGGAAUACCGGUGGCGAAGGCGGCCCCCUGGACGAAGACUGACGCUCAGGUGCGAAAGCGUGGGGAGCAAACAGGAUUAGAUACCCUGGUAGUCCACGCUGUAAACGAUGUCGAUUUGGAGGUUGUGCCCUUGAGGCGUGGCUUCCGGAGCUAACGCGUUAAAUCGACCGCCUGGGGAGUACGGCCGCAAGGUUAAAACUCAAAUGAAUUGACGGGGGCCCGCACAAGCGGUGGAGCAUGUGGUUUAAUUCGAUGCAACGCGAAGAACCUUACCUACUCUUGACAUCCAGAGAACUUAGCAGAGAUGCUUUGGUGCCUUCGGGAACUCUGAGACAGGUGCUGCAUGGCUGUCGUCAGCUCGUGUUGUGAAAUGUUGGGUUAAGUCCCGCAACGACCGCAACCCGUCAUACUGGUUUUCCUGAA